Molecule: unclassified non-coding RNA, 562 nt
Filed under: Hevea brasiliensis (rubber tree)
Lineage: Eukaryota; Viridiplantae; Streptophyta; Magnoliopsida; Malpighiales; Euphorbiaceae
Source: RNAcentral
UAGAUCCUCUAUUUUAACAAGAAACUUCCCUUUUUGUAUCCUUAUGUUUAAAUUACUCCCAAAAAGAUUUUGUUGCUUCAUCCAAGUGUCAUUCUUUGUUUAAAUUACUCACAUGAGGCAGUUCUAAAAUUCAUGGCAAAGAAGAAGAGCUGGUUCAACUUGCUUAAGACAUUUUUCGUUUCAGGAUCUGAAUCAAGAUUAGACAAGGGGAAAAGAAAAAGAUGGGUAUUUACAAGGCUAAAGAUUAGAAGAUUGGUGGCGACCUCGGCGUUGUCACCACCAAGAGAAAGGAGACAACAGAAAACAGAAGAGAAGCAGAACAAGCAUGCUAUAAAUGUAGAUGUUGAAACGAUUAAUGAAUCGAAUGUAGAUGCUGAAAAUGCAAAAGUUUAUUUUAAAGAAGACAUUGAGUCUAUCCAUGAGCCAAAUAAUGAAACUCUUGUAUUGUCAAAACUGACAAUUCAUGGUGAAGAAACAAAAUACUUUUACCUCUAUGAGAGAAGGAUUGAAAAUCUUGCUGCCAUCAAAAUUCAGACAGCAUUUCGUGGUUAUCUUGCAAGGA